Molecule: ribosomal RNA, 496 nt
Filed under: uncultured bacterium
Lineage: Bacteria
Description: partial 16S ribosomal RNA
Rfam family: Bacterial small subunit ribosomal RNA
Source: RNAcentral
GCCGCCCGCUUUCUUCUUUCCUAAUACAUGCAAGUAGAACGCUGAAGAGAGGAGCUUGCUCUUCUUGGAUGAGUUGCGAACGGGUGAGUAACGCGUAGGUAACCUGCCUUGUAGCGGGGGAUAACUAUUGGAAACGAUAGCUAAUACCGCAUAACAAUGGAUGACACAUGUCAUUUAUUUGAAAGGGGCAAUUGCUCCACUACAAGAUGGACCUGCGUUGUAUUAGCUAGUAGGUGAGGUAAUGGCUCACCAAGGCGACGAUACAUAGCCGACCUGAGAGGGUGAUCGGCCACACUGGGACUGAGACACGGCCCAGACUCCUACGGGAGGCAGCAGUAGGGAAUCUUCGGCAAUGGGGCAACCCUGACCGAGCAACGCCGCGUGAGUGAAGAAGGUUUUCGGAUCGUAAAGCUCUGUUGUAAGUCAAGAACGGGUGUGAGAGUGGAAAGUUCACACUGUGACGGUAGCUUACCAGAAAGGGACGGCUAACUACGUG